GAUGAACGCUAGCUACAGGCUUAACACAUGCAAGUCGAGGGGCAGCAUGAACUUAGCUUGCUAAGUUUGAUGGCGACCGGCGCACGGGUGAGUAACACGUAUCCAAACCUGCCGAUGACUCGGGGAUAGCCUUUCGAAAGAAAGAUUAAUACCCGAUGGCAUAGUUCUUCCGCAUGGUGGAACUAUUAAAGAAUUUCGGUCAUCGAUGGGGAUGCGUUCCAUUAGGUUGUUGGCGGGGUAACGGCCCACCAAGCCUUCGAUGGAUAGGGGUUCUGAGAGGAAGGUCCCCCACAUUGGAACUGAGACACGGUCCAAACUCCUACGGGAGGCAGCAGUGAGGAAUAUUGGUCAAUGGACGAGAGUCUGAACCAGCCAAGUAGCGUGAAGGAUGACUGCCCUAUGGGUUGUAAACUUCUUUUAUACGGGAAUAAAGUGACGGCACGUGUGCCUUUUGUAUGUACCGUAUGAAUAAGGAUCGGCUAACUCCGUG
This 490-nucleotide ribosomal RNA is filed under the name uncultured bacterium. Its description in RNAcentral is "bacterial SSU rRNA". It matches the Rfam family "Bacterial small subunit ribosomal RNA", at positions 28 to 507 of the family's 1533-position model. The record is from RNAcentral.